CCUGAUGUGGGGGAUAACCAUUGGAAACGAUGGCUAAUACCGCAUGAUGCCUACGGGCCAAAGAGGGGGACCUUCGGGCCUCUCGCGUCAGGAUAUGCCCAGGUGGGAUUAGCUAGUUGGUGAGGUAAGGGCUCACCAAGGCGACGAUCCCUAGCUGGUCUGAGAGGAUGAUCAGCCACACUGGAACUGAGACACGGUCCAGACUCCUACGGGAGGCAGCAGUGGGGAAUAUUGCACAAUGGGCGCAAGCCUGAUGCAGCCAUGCCGCGUGUAUGAAGAAGGCCUUCGGGUUGUAAAGUACUUUCAGUCGUGAGGAAGGGGGUAUCGUUAAUAGCGGUAUUCUUUGACGUUAGCGACAGAAGAAGCACCGGCUAACUCCGUGCCAGCAGCCGCGGUAAUACGGAGGGUGCGAGCGUUAAUCGGAAUUACUGGGCGUAAAGCGCAUGCAGGUGGUUCGUUAAGUCAGAUGUGAAAGCCCGGGGCUCAACCUCGGAAUAGCAUUUGAAACUGGCGGACUAGAGUACUG
RNAcentral lists this ribosomal RNA (526 nucleotides) under bacterium N1(2012). RNAcentral describes it as "bacterial SSU rRNA". It matches the Rfam family "Bacterial small subunit ribosomal RNA", at positions 130 to 651 of the family's 1533-position model. The record is from RNAcentral.